UACGUAGGGUGCAAGCGUUAAUCGGAAUUCCUGGGCGUAAAGCGUGCGCAGGCGGCUUUGCAAGACAGAUGUGAAAUCCCCGGGCUUAACCUGGGAACUGCAUUUGUGACUGCAUGGCUGGAGUGCGGCAGAGGGGGAUGGAAUUCCGCGUGUAGCAGUGAAAUGCGUAGAUAUGCGGAGGAACACCGAUGGCGAAGGCAAUCCCCUGGACCGGUACUGACGCUAAUGCACGAAAGCGUGGGGAGCAAGCAGG
RNAcentral lists this ribosomal RNA (253 nucleotides) under uncultured bacterium. Its description in RNAcentral is "partial 16S ribosomal RNA". It matches the Rfam family "Bacterial small subunit ribosomal RNA", at positions 524 to 776 of the family's 1533-position model. The record is from RNAcentral.